Molecule: small RNA, 744 nt
Filed under: Pongo abelii (Sumatran orangutan)
Lineage: Eukaryota; Metazoa; Chordata; Mammalia; Primates; Hominidae
Description: retained intron
Source: RNAcentral
CCACCUGGGGGCUUCUCUGCAGCAGGGGCAGGAGCUGUUACCCUUCUAAUCCUCACAAUGACCCCAGCCUAAUAAUACAAUGAUCCCCACAUAGAACCAGGGGCCCAAGACCCCCACGUCAGCUGGGCUUCCACCUCCAAGCUCACGCCCUCAACCACUCUGCUGGGGCCAGCAAACCCAGGCCCCACAGCCGGCUAGCAGGACAUCUGUGUCCACAAUUGGCGCCGUGUGUUUUAAGUUGCAGCGUCAAAAACAUUAAGAGAUUGCUUUAGCAAAUAUUUACCCAGUCCUGACUCUGCACAUGGCAUCGUUCUAGGAGCUCAAAGAUGUUAACUUGUUUAAUAAUCAAGCCCUGUGAAAGACUUUAUAGCAUCUGUGGAUUUUGGUACCCAUGGAGGUGCUGGAACCAAUCGUUGAGGAUUCCAAGGACAACUGUAUGAUGCAGGCACACCUGUCCUAGCUGCUCAAGGGUCGUGGGAUGCAGGCAGGUUUUCUCCCCCUUCCCCCUCCCUCCCACACACCUUCUCUCCCACCUCUCUCUGUUUCAUUCACAAAGUCAGCAGUGGCCAAGCACACAGGUGUUCCCAGCUGCGUAUCUGGGAUACCGAGGAAAGGUAAGAAGUCUCAGGAGUGAAGAAGCCACAGGCUGGCGUCUUCCUCCCUGGGCCUCCAGCAGUGCGGAGCCAGGGAGCGCACCUGCUGGGCCUGGGCCCUCUCCCCUGGGCUGGGCGGCCUCUGCUGGCC